GCAGAGAGGGGGGCAGGAGCAGGUAGGUGGAUUGGCUCUUUCUUUCAUUAGCUUAAAUUCAUUGCAUUCUAAUGAUAUUAGUCCUUUACGGUUGGAUUAUUUUUUCUAUAUUUAUUAUUUGCUUUAACCUUCAAUGGUGUUUCAAAUGUUAAGAAUCUUAAAGAAAAAGCGUUGUGCAGUUUCACAAUUUGGAGUACGAAGUGAAGCCUGUGCCACUUAGGGUGUCCUUUGGUCCACCCUGGAUCCUGGCAGAGCAUCCAUUUCCCUCCAGCGGCUGGUGAGAUGUCAGUGCUCUUGGCUGAGAAGCAGUUCCCUUGCAGGACCAACCCUCCAGGAUUCCAGUGGGCUGGGACCCCAACCAAUGAGUGUGUCUUUAUUUCUAUGAUGGUGGCUGGGCGAGCAACAUGCUCACCUGUCCAAGCACAAAGAGUGGACUAGGAGAUACGAGGGACAGCAGAAAGCAACACUUUACUUCAGUGAUGGUCUUGCAAGAUGGGAUGCCUGGUGGUCAGGGACCCCCAGAGUGUCCAACCAGAGUUUCAUUCCCUGGAGCGCAGGUCCCUUGCAGGGGACAUUGAAGUUAAGUUAUCGACAUUGACACUAUCUGAGUUGCUAAAAGGGAGGACUCAUUAUUAUGGGCAAUUUCCAUCUCAACAAGCUAGUAUGUCUAGGAUGCAGGGCAGGACCAAAGGACACAAGAACAAAGCGAAAGUGAGCCCCAAAGGUGUAAAGUGGGGUUGUGAGAACUAGAGGUCCAGUGGUCCAUAUUUGGAAUACAGCAUCCAGCCUUGACUGUGAUGUCACAUCAAGUCAAUGCCAUUUUAACUAAAGCCCCUCCCUUUCUUGCCCCAAUUAGAACUAGCCAGUUGUGUAGGUGUAGCCCUAGCUCCCCCAUCAGAGCAAGGGGCAGAGCGGUCUGGGGAUAGAGCAGGCACACUCUGCCCAGGUGUGAGCCAGGCCGGGAGCGCACCUUCUGCAGAAGCAGAGCCUGCUCUGCCCAGCCACUUCCCAGCCCAGGUGGGAUUCCUAGGGACACCAGGUGUUUCUAAUAGGAGAACACCCCGAGUCCUGCAUCCUGGUGCCACAGGGGAACAGGGAAACCCCACACCUCGGUUCUUGUGUUCCAAUGAAAGAAAAUUGAAAGUCAGACACCAAAAUCACGCAAGAGGACUGUAUCACAAGUGAAGGGGAGGGAAGGCCAAGGGAGCCCGCAGAGCCCCCUCAGGGAGAGGGCGGCUCACCUCUGAGCAGGGAAGACAGAGGGGGUCAAACUCAUCGUUUGCCUUGAGGACUGGGGCCCCCUUCAGCAAUCUUCCCUAAUCGGGAGUCCAACUCCUCCUCCGCCCCGGGCAGUGGAGAUUUUGACCCUAGUUGGUCCUCUCUGGAUCGGUGGUGGUGGCCAUCCUAUUCCAGGGGCUUCUCUACAAGUGAACCCAUGGUAAUGUCACCGGGGUCAGUCACUGGCCAGAAGUUACCACAGUGGACCAGUGCUACUAGAGGAACCUCCCUUCCCAACAAGUGGGGACUCUCGCCAGGAAUCCCCGCUUCACAGCAACCCCAGUGGACCCGCGAGAGUCAGGCCCCUGCACCUUUCCUCCUGGUGUGCUGUCCAGUUGGCUCCUUCGCUUCUGCUUGGCCGGCAAUGGCUAUUGUCCACUUUUAAAGAAGGUCAUUUGAAGAAGACUCUGAAGUCAUUUAAGUGACACCUGGGACCUACUCAAGUGUCUCAGUGCUCACUCCAGCUCCUUCCUCACACCUUGACCAGCUGCCUGGCCUGGAAUGGCACCAGUGUCCAGUGCUGCCCCUGGUGGCAAGUGUCCCUCCAUGCUUCCUGUUGGGCCCACUGUGGGGUCUUUGGAAGGGAGACUUCUCAGCUCUUCUUUUGGGGUCACCUCUCGACCUCCAAGUGGCCAACAGAGCCUCUCGUGGGGACCACUGCUUCUGUAGGUAUCAUGGGCAGCUUCUCUUCUGGGCAUCUUCGACUACUUGCUGUUUCUCCCAGGUUUCUGUGCUGAGCACUGUGGUUGGGGCUUUUCUUCUGGGCUGUGACCCAGUGACCCUGCACCUGUCCCCACAGUUUCCCAGACUGCCCCAGGCCAUGCCCGGCCUUGUAACCCUAAGGUGGUGCCAGGGUCAGCCUUGGGACCGGGCCCUGGGUCCAGGGAGAGUGACAGCUGUGCUACUGUGUGCUGUGUUGGGAGGGGCCAGCAGAGUCCUUUCUGGAGGAAUCCUGCUGGACCCCAGCCUCUGGCUAAGGGCCCUUGUCCUCAGUACUCCACGCAUUCCCAGCUUCUCACCUUCUGGAGCCAUAGGGGAGUUGCAUGUUUCUGGAACUGGGUGCCCUUGGAGGACCUUAAGGUGGGUAAAUAGAGGGUUGGAAAAGCCGGGUGCCAUUGGUGAUGACGACCUCACAGAAGUGACAAAGCUGGCCCUGGGAAGGCGCUGUCACCUCCGUGCAGUCCCUGGGCCUCAGCCAGUACCAGGGCAUAUGGCCUUGGACUCCAGGCUGAAUUCUGUACCUGCUGAGCUCCAGGGUCCCCAGCGGAGCCUCCGUGGCCCCCAAGGGCUGCCCUUGGUGCCCAUCCUGAUCCCAGGUGUCCAGGUGCUCAGGGCCCAGGGUGCAGAGGAUCAGCUGUGACUGCUAGCUUGAAAACGUAAUGCUUACUGUCCUUGAUGGAGUCUGCCUGCACACGGGAUGCUCUGUCAAGGUCUAGAUAAGGUGACAGCAAGCAGACUUGCACAGGAGAUGUUUGUUGUCUUUGAUGGGGCUUGCUCACAAACGAGAGGUUCCUUCAAUGUUUAGGUAGGUAACAGGGGACAGCUUGAAAACGAGGUGCCUGCUGUCCUUGGGAGGACUUGCUCACAAAUGGGAUGUUCUGCAAAGUGGGCUAGGAGGGCGCUGAGAAAGUUCUUAUCUGUUCUUAACAAAGAGCAGAGCUCAGCAUGCUCCGGGCCAAGAGUAGAUUGGCCAUGAGAAGCGGGUCCCCUUUGAUUAGAAAGUAGGACUUCUGUAUGCCAUGUUUAACCAGCUGAAAGACCUGAUCUAUUGCUGUUGGAAGGCUGCCUCCUUUGUUCACAAUACUAUAGAAGAUGCUGUAUUCAAUAAAGGAUGUUUUUUCCUCUGCUGCUUGGCUUCCUCUGCUCCUUCUUUCUUUCUCAUGCUGACCAGCGAGUGAGUUACUUACAACACAGCGUGCAGUGCAGCUGGUUAAAUAUGCCAAAAGAUGUGCCCAAGAU
This 3237-nucleotide long non-coding RNA is filed under the name Marmota monax (woodchuck). Lineage: Eukaryota; Metazoa; Chordata; Mammalia; Rodentia; Sciuridae. The record is from RNAcentral.